CGCGUAGGCGGCUUGGCAAGUCAGAUGUGAAAGCCCCGGGCUUAACCCGGGAAUUGCAUCUGAAACUGCUUAGCUUGAGUCCUGGAGGGGGUAGUGGAAUUCCCAGUGUAGCGGUGAAAUGCGUAGAUAUUGGGAGGAACACCUGCGGCGAAGGCGGCUACCUGGACAGUGACUGACGCUGAGGCGCGAAAGCUAGGGGAGCGAACG
This 207-nucleotide ribosomal RNA is filed under the name uncultured Acidobacteriota bacterium. RNAcentral describes it as "uncultured Acidobacteria bacterium partial 16S ribosomal RNA". It matches the Rfam family "Bacterial small subunit ribosomal RNA", at positions 568 to 774 of the family's 1533-position model. The record is from RNAcentral. Lineage: Bacteria; Pseudomonadati; Acidobacteriota.